RNAcentral lists this ribosomal RNA (495 nucleotides) under uncultured bacterium. RNAcentral describes it as "partial 16S ribosomal RNA". It matches the Rfam family "Bacterial small subunit ribosomal RNA", at positions 28 to 507 of the family's 1533-position model. The record is from RNAcentral.
GACGAACGCUGGCGGCGUGCCUAACACAUGCAAGUCGAACGCUGAAGGAGGAGUUUGCUUCUCUGGACGAGUUGCGAACGGGUGAGUAACGCGUAGGUAACCUGCCUGGUAGCGGGGGAUAACUACUGGAAACGAUAGCUAAUACCGCAUAAGAGCAGAUGUUGCAUGACAUUUGCUUAAAAGGUGCAAUUGCAUCACUACCAGAUGGACCUGAGGUGUAUUAGCUAGUUGGUGGGGUAACGGCUCACCAAGGCGACGAUACAUAGCCGACCGGAGAGGGUGGGUAGCCAGACUGGGACGGUGACCCGGCACAGUCGCCUUCGGGAAGCAGCAAGAGGGAAACUUGGGAAAGGGGCGGAAUACAUACCAAAAAAGGCCGCGGGAGGGAAGAAGGAUGCCGGGUCGGAAAGGUCGGUUGUAGGGGAAGAACGCGCGUGAGAGUGGGAAGUUCACUGUGUGACGGUAACUUAUCAGAAAGGAACGGCUAACUACGUG